RNAcentral lists this ribosomal RNA (262 nucleotides) under uncultured Staphylococcus sp. RNAcentral's name for it is "partial 16S ribosomal RNA". It matches the Rfam family "Bacterial small subunit ribosomal RNA", at positions 99 to 355 of the family's 1533-position model. Lineage: Bacteria; Bacillati; Bacillota; Bacilli; Caryophanales; Staphylococcaceae. The record is from RNAcentral.
CGGACGGGUGAGUAACACGUGGAUAACCUACCUAUAAGACUGGGAUAACUUCGGGAAACCGGAGCUAAUACCGGAUAAUAUAUUGAACCGCAUGGUUCAAUAGUGAAAGACGGUUUUGCUGUCACUUAUAGAUGGAUCCGCGCCGCAUUAGCUAGUUGGUAAGGUAACGGCUUACCAAGGCAACGAUGCGUAGCCGACCUGAGAGGGUGAUCGGCCACACUGGAACUGAGACACGGUCCANACUCCUACGGGAGGCAGCAGC